This is a non-coding RNA of Macaca mulatta (Rhesus monkey), 403 nucleotides long. Lineage: Eukaryota; Metazoa; Chordata; Mammalia; Primates; Cercopithecidae. The record is from RefSeq and is a predicted model, not a curated record.
AGGGUUUGGUCUGGGGAAGACAUACAUGACAGUAGGUAUUCAAGGAAAGGAUGGCGGCUGCUCUCCAAACAUCUUUCCAGGGUACAGAGCAGGGGCUGGGUGGAGGUGGAGCUGGAGGUCAAAUCUUUCGAUGAAAUCCUCCAGCCCCGCUUUGCCCUCCACCCUCCCACCAUCACCCAUGAUAAGCGUGGAGCAUUGUUCAGGACAGAAAAGAAGAAACUCCUUCACGUCAGGCUAUAUGCAUGUGGUAUUCAUGCAUAAGGCAAAUAUCUAUCACUGUAAUGGCAAAGAUGACGGAGGUAAUUUCAAUCUGGAUUUUGUUGGUUGAAAAAAUAAAUAAAGUCCUAUCUUUCCAAUCUUUUUAUAUCAACCAAAGAUACACUGUUCAGUCCCUUCUCCCAGG